Molecule: long non-coding RNA, 615 nt
Filed under: Ictidomys tridecemlineatus (thirteen-lined ground squirrel)
Lineage: Eukaryota; Metazoa; Chordata; Mammalia; Rodentia; Sciuridae
Description: lncRNA (ENSSTOG00000029700.1)
Source: RNAcentral
AUGACAAAAACAUAUGUGGCAGGCAUUCAUUUCUUCUUUUCUGCAAAAUUUGUCUUUAACCCAAACAUAAAAAUUUAAGUCACAACAAACAAGAAAAGCUAGAAAUGCAAAACUGAUACUUUUCUUCUUAAUUAUUUCUCGCAGGUGCAGGAUACCACAUGGUCAUAGUGAAAGAACCAUAUUGUAAAGCUGGAGAAAUUGCCUGUCUUAUAUAUCAUUAUGUACCAAGUGCCAUUUUGGAGAACAAUAUUGGAGCUGAAUUAUCAUUUAUUUUACCUAAAGAGUACGUAAAUAGGUUUGAAACUUUGUUCGCUGAGCUGGAAAAUCAUGGAGUAAAGCUGGGCAUUGCCAGUUUUGGUGCUUCUAUCACAACCAUGGAAGAAGUCUUCCUUAAAUUUGUCAGUGAAUCAGCUACUGCCCCCCAUAUAACCCCUUGCUGGAACACUUAACAGGGUAUGAGAUGCUGGCCUUGCAUGCCUAUUUGAGAGGAGUUCCCAAGCAAUAUAUUCCUGCUUAUGUUAAAAACAUACUAAGAGCACUUCUCCUGGAUGCCUUUGCAGAUGAACUCAUCAAAAACUACAGGUAAGAGUAUGCCUUAUCUGCAUGGAUUUUCCC